This 938-nucleotide ribosomal RNA is filed under the name Hyphoderma sp. EYu-2015a. Its description in RNAcentral is "eukaryotic LSU rRNA". It matches the Rfam family "Eukaryotic large subunit ribosomal RNA", at positions 39 to 964 of the family's 3401-position model. Lineage: Eukaryota; Fungi; Basidiomycota; Agaricomycetes; Polyporales; Hyphodermataceae. The record is from RNAcentral.
CAUAUCAAUAAGCGGAGGAAAAGAAACUAACAAGGAUUCCCCUAGUAACUGCGAGUGAAGCGGGAAAAGCUCAAAUUUAAAAUCUGGCAGUCUUUGGCUGUCCGAGUUGUAAUCUGGAGAAGUGUUUUCCGCGCUGGACCGUGUACAAGUCUCUUGGAACAGAGCGUCAUAGAGGGUGAGAAUCCCGUCUUUGACACGGACUACCAGUGCUUUGUGAUGCGCUUUCAAAGAGUCGAGUUGUUUGGGAAUGCAGCUCAAAAUGGGUGGUAAAUUCCAUCUAAAGCUAAAUAUUGGCGAGAGACCGAUAGCGAACAAGUACCGUGAGGGAAAGAUGAAAAGCACUUUGGAAAGAGAGUUAAACAGUACGUGAAAUUGUUGAAAGGGAAACGCUUGAAGUCAGUCGCGUUGUUCAGAACUCAGCCUGACUUUUGUCUGGUGUAUUUUCUGUGCGACGGGCCAGCAUCAAUUUUGACCAUUGGAAAAGGGCCAGAGGAAUGUGGCACCUUCGGGUGUGUUAUAGCCUUUGGUCGCAUACAAUGGUUGGGAUUGAGGAUCUCAGCAUGCCUUUUGGCCGGGGUUCGCCCACGUUCAUGCUUAGGAUGCUGGCGUAAUGGCUUUAAACGACCCGUCUUGAAACACGGACCAAGGAGUCUAACAUGCCUGCGAGUAUUUGGGUGGAAAACCCGAGUGCGCAAUGAAAGUGAAAGUUGGGAUCUCUGUCAUGGGGAGCACCGACGCCCGGACCAGACCUUUUGUGACGGCUCCGCGGUAGAGCAUGUAUGUUGGGACCCGAAAGAUGGUGAACUAUGCCUGAAUAGGGUGAAGCCAGAGGAAACUCUGGUGGAGGCUCGUAGCGAUUCUGACGUGCAAAUCGAUCGUCAAAUUUGGGUAUAGGGGCGAAAGACUAAUCGAACCAUCUAGUAGCUGGUUCCUGCCGA